CAGGGUGUGGCUAAGACAAGAACAAGCGUCUCCCUUACACUGAGAAGUCAUCCGUGCAAACCGGAUCACCCUGA
RNAcentral lists this transfer RNA (74 nucleotides) under Parachanna africana. RNAcentral's name for it is "tRNA-Val". Lineage: Eukaryota; Metazoa; Chordata; Actinopteri; Anabantiformes; Channidae. The record is from RNAcentral.